Molecule: long non-coding RNA, 494 nt
Filed under: Ananas comosus (pineapple)
Lineage: Eukaryota; Viridiplantae; Streptophyta; Magnoliopsida; Poales; Bromeliaceae
Description: long non-coding RNA (ACOM_LNC033640)
Source: RNAcentral
AGAGAAUCGUUUAAAUUUUUAAAGUUUGAUUUACAUAUUAAAAUUAAAUAAAUUAAAAAUUUUAAAUGUGUCAGUUAAUAAGUUGAAGAAUUGUUGAAAAAUAUAAAAAUAUUAUAUAUAACUACUUAUUUAUUUAUGAAUAGUAAAUUUAAAUGAUUAAUAAACUUAUAUAAUUAUUUUAUGUAUAGUGAAGAUAAUCUCACCACUCUAUCUGAAGAGGUGACAAAAUUCACAAAUGCAAUUAUCAGCUUCAUAUUACCAAACGGAAGAAAUGUAACUGCAGGAGUUGCAACUGUAUAAAACCAAACAGACUAGGUGUAGCUACAACUGCAGUAUUUGCAACUGCAUGUAUUUCCAACUACACUGUUUCUGCAACUACAUCCAACCAAACGACCCCUAAAAUUUAGAAAUAUUGGGUAGCUCAUUUUUAGGUUUGUUUUGUAUAUUUUUAUUUAUUUAUUUUUUUGUAAAAAUGUAUAAAAUUUAUCUGAUCA